AUGGACUGGCUUCGUAGGUGCCGAGGUCUUCGCACAGGCCAAGGCCAGGGGGAUCUUUUCACUGACUUCCUGUGUCCCCACUACCCCCUCCCACAUCCUGUCUGGAUAACUUGGAGCAAGACACCUGACUUUGUCAUUCCUUCCAUGGUCACAUGCUUCUGUGAGCAGGCCGUGCUGGGGCCUCAGGCCAGGUGCCUGGACCGCCCAGCCAGCCCCAGUUUACACACAAGCCGCAUUUCCAGCUAUGACUACCGAAUGAUUUCAUCAACCCAUUUUGGAGUCUUUCUUUUUGUAUUUCAGUAUAACAAUCUUAAUCUUCCCUGCGGGCAGUGAACAAGACUCUUGGGGGAGAGAUGGAGAACAAGGAAAUGCAAAUGAGAAAAGCAUCCUGAUGACAGUUUAAGGAUGACUGUGCCAUACCCUUAAGGACGCUGUGGAGGAUGAAGCUUCUGGAGCAGGUGAGAAGUAAGAAGCAAGCAGAAGUCUUGCCCCCAAAGGUCUUGCUCCACAGAGCCGGAGGGGCACUCUGUGUAGGAUUCCAGGCUUCACUCUUGGAUCUGUGUCAUGUUGAAACAUGGGACCUUUUUCAGCACCAGGUCCCAGGGAUAAGGCUCCUCUAGUAGCCAUUCACACUUUUUUCACAGCACCAUCAUCCUUAGCAUUAAAAAAAAUUAUGUAUUUAUUUUGGCUGUGCUGGGUCUUUGCUGCUGCAUGGGCUUCUCUCUAGCUGUGGUGCACAGGCUUCUUAUGGCGAGGCCUCUCUUGUUGUGGAGCACAGGCUGCAAGGCACGUGGGCUUCAGCAGUUGUGCCUCCCAGCUUUGAGAGCACAGGCUCAAUAAUUGUGCAGGGAUUUAGUUUUGGGACUCUUCUCAGACCGAGGAUCAAACUGUCUCCCUGGUUUGGCAGGUGGAUUCUUUGCCACUGAGCUUCCAGGGAAGCCCCAUCCUUAGCAUUGUUUUUCCGUUGACUUUGAUCUCAGAGAUUCAUGGAAGGAUCAAUUAACUGUGAAAUUCAUCUUGAUUCUGAAUAGAGUCUUAUAAAUAGUUUCUAUCCUGAUGUGACUUUUCCAAUAGUUUUGUAAAAUCAACAGGGAAUAGAUUAUUUGUUUCCAUUACAGAGAAAGAAGAAUCAAUCUUGAACUUUUCUUUUUCAUUACAAUAAAUGUUUAUUGAACCCUUACUGUAAACA
RNAcentral lists this long non-coding RNA (1189 nucleotides) under Bos indicus x Bos taurus (hybrid cattle). Its description in RNAcentral is "lncRNA (ENSBIXG00005015499.1)". The record is from RNAcentral. Lineage: Eukaryota; Metazoa; Chordata; Mammalia; Artiodactyla; Bovidae.